This 93-nucleotide non-coding RNA is filed under the name bovine gut metagenome. RNAcentral describes it as "TPP riboswitch (THI element)". It matches the Rfam family "TPP riboswitch aptamer (THI element)". Rfam says of the family: Vitamin B(1) in its active form thiamin pyrophosphate (TPP) is an essential coenzyme that is synthesised by coupling of pyrimidine and thiazole moieties in bacteria. The previously detected thiamin-regulatory element, thi box was extended, resulting in a new, highly conserved RNA secondary structure, the THI element, which is widely distributed in eubacteria and also occurs in some archaea. The record is from RNAcentral.
UUGCUGGGGGAGCGUAAGCUGAGAUCGAAACGUAAGUUUCAGACCCUUAUCACCUGAUCCGGUUAAUACCGGCGUAGGGAAGCGAAGACCUUU